Molecule: ribosomal RNA, 483 nt
Filed under: uncultured bacterium
Lineage: Bacteria
Description: partial 16S ribosomal RNA
Rfam family: Bacterial small subunit ribosomal RNA
Source: RNAcentral
GAUGAACGCUGGCGGCGUGCCUAACACAUGCAAGUCGAACGGUAAACCACUUCGAAGGGGCUCAUUGGCGUACGGGUGGGUGACACGGUGGCAACUUGCUCCCGGCCCUGGGAUAACUCCAAGAUAUCGGGGCUAAUACCGCAUUUUCACCGCUUCCCGCAUGGGGGGUGGUGCAAAGGGUCUCCGGCUUGUGAUGGGCUCGCGGCCUAUUAGCCUGUUGGUGGGGUAGGGGGCCACCAGGGCGACGACGGGGAGGCGGCCUGAGAGGGUGACCCGCCACACUGGAACGGAGACACGGUCCAGACGCCGACGGGAGGCAGCAGUGGGGAAUAGUCGACAAUGGGCGAAAGCCUGAUGCAGCCAUGCCGCGUGGGUGAAGAAGGCCUUCGGGUCGGAAAGCCCUUUUAUUAGGAAAGAAAAGAAGCAGGAGAAUACACGGCCGUUCUGACGGUACCCAAAGAAUAAGCACCGGCUAACUUCGUG